UGCUAACUCAUGAUUUUAAACGUUUUAUGUUAUUUUUGAUAAAUAUAAAUAAAGAUUAUAGUUGUUUUAAUAAUUUUGCAACAAUAUUGAAUAUAUGUAAUACCAGGUAUAAAGAGCUGUAUGUUGGGUUGAGUUUCUACCAAAGAACCCACAACAUGGUCACUCAGAAACCUGCGAAAGUAUGGAUUUGAUAGUAAAAUCUUCAGUUUUGAGUGUGGAAGACGCUGUGCCACUGGCGAAGGCAUAUUUGCAUUCAAAUGCAAGAAAGCUGAGCAAUUAUUCAAUCUUCUACACUGUUUAGGUGCUUAGCCUUGACUGGUCGUCAGGUGGUGGGUACAGAACAGUUGGCCGCGAGACGUGUCGCCACGAGGCUUCGUCGUCAGAAUAAUUCAAGUUUCUAAAUAAUUGAUGUGUAAAUUUACGGAUUAACUGGAAACAAACGUGUUUACUAUUGUGCUAGUGAUUAAACACACGUAGGAACUUGGUAAACCGGGUACAUUUGUUAUUAAGUGAUAUUUACAAACGUACCAUGCGUUUGUAGCAUCAAUUUCCUACGUCCUGGCGAACGUAUAAAUGCUGGUGAUCGCGAAUUUGGUCACACCGAUGGAUGUUGCACCGAUACAUACAAACUUGUUUGCUAACAUUUUAUUUACAAGCUAUCAAAUCGUUUGAUUCUAUUAGGUUUCUUUGGAUUCUGUACAGCAUAAGUCAAGAUGAUGAUCAUCGAGUACCAAUGGGACUACCAUCUUUCGUCUUACUGAAUAGCUUAGGAAAUAGUGUUUAUUUCAAGCAGUAUUGUGCCAUGGCUAACAAAUGAAAUAGUUUGGAACUGGGAACGGCAAAGGGUGGUUUUAUGUCCAGCUGCACAUCGAAGCCAACGUGAACAAGGGGUUGAUGAAAUACUGGGAACAUUUUGAUUGUUAUUGUUAUUUAUAUUAUUAACAUACAAAUUAUACUUGCAUAUAUAUGUUAAAAUUAAUUUAUUGGUCCUUUUGUGGAUUGAAGUAAUUAAUAUGACUUGAUGUAUGAAUAUGAAUAUAAUUUAUAUUAUUAA
Molecule: long non-coding RNA, 1054 nt
Organism: Dalotia coriaria
Lineage: Eukaryota; Metazoa; Arthropoda; Insecta; Coleoptera; Staphylinidae
Exons: 2
Source: RefSeq, a predicted model, not a curated record